RNAcentral lists this non-coding RNA (618 nucleotides) under Corchorus olitorius. RNAcentral's name for it is "Bacterial small subunit ribosomal RNA". It matches the Rfam family "Bacterial small subunit ribosomal RNA", at positions 141 to 627 of the family's 1533-position model. The record is from Rfam by way of RNAcentral. Lineage: Eukaryota; Viridiplantae; Streptophyta; Magnoliopsida; Malvales; Malvaceae.
AAAUAAAAUGAUCUCACAAAAAAAGGAAGUGUACAGUACGAAAUAACAUAAAAGCAGACUUGUUCCAUUAAAAAUAAAGAUAUAGCCCUCUACUUUACUUCCAUUUUUUUGGCGGGAAUCAGAAAAAAACGAAAUAUUGGAAUCCUAUUCGAUCCUUUCUUUUUCUGCAUGGACGAAGAACGAAAGACGGAGCAAUCUGUCACUGAAGGAUGGGCCUGCGGCGCAUUAGCUAGUUGGUGGGGUAACGGCUCACCAAGGCGACGAUGCGUAGCCGACCUGAGAGGGUGAUCGGCCACACUGGGACUGAGACACGGCCCAGACUCCUACGGGAGGCAGCAGUAGGGAAUCUUCCGCAAUGGGCGAAAGCCUGACGGAGCAACGCCGCGUGAGUGAUGAAGGUUUUCGGAUCGUAAAGCUCUGUUGCCAGGGAAGAACGUCUUGGAGAGUAACUGCUCUGAGAGUGACGGUACCUGAGAAGAAAGCCCCGGCUAACUACGUGCCAGCAGCCGCGGUAAUACGUAGGGGGCAAGCGUUGUCCGGAAUUAUUGGGCGUAAAGCGCGCGCAGGCGGCCGUUUAAGUCCGGUGUUUAAUCCCGAAGCUCAACUUCGGGUCGCACU